This 269-nucleotide ribosomal RNA is filed under the name uncultured archaeon. RNAcentral's name for it is "partial 16S ribosomal RNA". It matches the Rfam family "Archaeal small subunit ribosomal RNA", at positions 717 to 982 of the family's 1478-position model. The record is from RNAcentral.
ACACGACUACAUUAGACUACCCGGGUAGUCCCAGCCCUAAGCGAUGCGCGUUAGGUGUAUCGGUGACCACGAGUCACCGAGGUGCCGAAGGGAAACCGUGAAACGUGCCGCCGUGGGAAGUACGGUCGCAAGGCUAGAAAACUUAAAGGAAUUGGCGGGGGAGCACCACAACGGGUGGAGCCUGCGGUUUAAUUGGACUCAACGCCGGGAAGCUCACCGGAUAAGACAGCGGAAUGAUUGCCGGGCUGAAGACCCUGCAUGACCAGCUG